GAUGAAGAACGUAGCGAAAUGCGAUAAGUAAUGUGAAUUGCAGAAUUCAGUGAAUCAUCGAAUCUUUGAACGCACAUUGCGCCCGCCAGUAUUCUGGCGGGCAUGCCUGUUCGAGCGUCAUUACAACCCUCAGGCCCCCGGGCCUGGCGUUGGGGAUCGGCGGAAGCCCCCUGCGGGCACAACGCCGUCCCCCAAAUACAGUGGCGGUCCCGCCGCAGCUUCCAUUGCGUAGUAGCUAACACCUCGCAACUGGAGAGCGGCGAGGCCACGCCGUAAAACACCCAACUUCUGAAUGUUGACCUCGAAUCAGGUAGGAAUACCCGCUGAACUUAAGCAUAUCAAUAAGCGGAGGA
This 353-nucleotide unclassified non-coding RNA is filed under the name soil metagenome. Its description in RNAcentral is "partial contains 5.8S ribosomal RNA, internal transcribed spacer 2, and large subunit ribosomal RNA". The stretch from base 1 to 120 matches the Rfam family "5.8S ribosomal RNA", at positions 35 to 154 of the family's 154-position model. The record is from RNAcentral.